GGAACCCAAAGGGAGAACAUGCACCAAAUAUCAAGCAUACACAACAAUCUCAAUCCCAAUAGAGACGAAAUGGAAUAUCAAGAGAAAUGAAACUACCAGAGCUUUUAUGCCAUUUGUAACUCCAGGGGGAACAUCUGAAGGCUCAGGGGCCAGAAUAGUUCUUUCCAAAGGUGCAGCACCCUUCACAAAAGGGUGAUCCAAAAGCUCAGCUGCUGUUGGACGGUUUAAGGGAUUACGUUGCAAACACAACCUAAUAAAAUCCUUUCCUUCAUCAGAGAGGUCAUCUGGAAUUGUUGGGAGUUCCUUACUAUUCCCAAUCUUAAACAUAGCAGCAACCUGCAGAUCAUAACAUGCAACUAUCUCACACAAUGAACUAAGCUCCAACUGGACAACAUAAACUAUCAUUUUCUGUAUAAGAAAAAAUGAAAAUUUAAGAUCGUUUCUGUUGCUUCAGUACCGACCCCUUCAUACUGGCUCCAAGGUGGUUUUGUUGUAGCCAUUUCCAAAACAGUGCAUCCAAGACUCCAAAUAUCAACAGCAAGAUUGCAACCACUUGAGUUCUUUAUAACCUGAGUGUAAAUUUAGAUUUGAUAUCACAAUUGAGAAACAUGUUGUUAUUAAUGAGUUCAGGUACAAAAAGGAAUAAUUUCUGACCUCAGGAGCCAUCCAGUAAGGGCUUCCCUUGAAUGAUAAUGGACAUGACUGGCCGGCAAUCUGCACAGAGCAUUUAAUGUUUCGCUAAAUUCUCAUUUAAUCAGAUGCAAUUUAUACAUUUAUUAAAAGAAAUUAUUAUGCCUAAACUUACAUGCUUUGCCAUCCCAAAAUCUGCCAGCUUGACCCGCCCAUUUGGAUCCACAAGUAUGUUUGCUCCUUUAAUGUCCCUGUAAAAUAAAUGCCCUUUAUUUAAGAAUACAAACAAUGUAUAAAUUGAGCAGAGUAGCUAAUCUGUAUAUAGCAGCUUCAAACUUAUUCAAGAAUAGGAGGAUUAUCACCUGUGGACUGUAUGCUUUGAGUGUAAGAAUGCAAGCCCAGACAAGAUUUGUUGUGUAUAAUUACGAAUUGCCGGUUCGCCAAAAUGUCCAUAAUCCUGGAGAAGUUUAUAAAUUGACCCACCAGAUACAUACUCCAGGUAUAUAUAAAGUUUGUCCUCAACCUGUUCGGGAAAAAAAAUCCAACAGUCAUAUUUGUACCAUAUGAAAAGACAAUGUCUGAAAAUAAAUAUCAACAGCUUUAAAUAACAAUUGUCACAUGCUUCAGUGAAUGGAAAUAGAACAAAAAUACUUACUGUUUUAGAUCCAUAGUAUUGCACGAUGUUUGGAUGCCGUAAGCGACUUAAUAAUACAAUUUCCUGCCACAGAACUCGAGUAAGAAUGUUUUCUUAAAGCUAUGCAUAUGUUACAAAACAAGGGAGCAAUUAAAUAAACUAUUCAAAGAAAGGAUGCAGGCAGCGGGGGGGAGGCAAAGAAACAAAAACCAUUAUCUAAUAAACUGAAAGCUGACUGUUAUACUUGGAAGUGAUCAUACCUGCAUCAGCUGCUUAGCACUCUCCUUUGACUUGGCAUCAUCAAAUAAUGUAACUUCCUUCAUUGCACACAUUUCACCACUAUCACUGGACCAGUUAAGAGGAGAAAUCAGAUACAUACAAACUUAAAUAAUGACCAACAUGUAAAAAUACCAAAACAGAUUAAAACAUCAUAUUUAAAAACCUCAGUCCUAAUGAGCCAUUUGUAAUCGAUAAUCAAGAAAAUCUGCUAACACUGAUCUCAACUACUUAGCUUGCUAAUGUACUAAAUUUGAUGGGAGGUUAAUACAAUUGUUUUGCAAGCCGUUUAUUAAUAAAAUCAAAGUGCACAUGCAUUAAAAAAAAUUAAAAAAAAGCAAUAUUCUUUGUGGCAAACCUGUUAAAACAAACAUAAACCACAAACCUGUUAAAACCAACAUAAACAUGUCCAAAUGUGCCUCUACCCAGCAUCUUUCCCUUUUUCCAGUGUGACUCGGGGCUAACUGGAUUUUCCACUCUUCCUGGACUUCGCGGCACAGAGGGUGAUGUUGCAGCCGAAUUUGAAUGAGAAAAGGGAGAAGAAUUGGAUAUUGUUAUAGGAGGAAGAGGCAAGCGGUGGCUUUGUUGUUUUCCAUCAUCAGGCCAGCUUGUCUGCGACUCAAUGGGUGCACCUCCUGCUCUAGGAUGAAUAGGGGUGACAGCACCACUUUGGAUUCUGGAGCUGGGGCCUGGGCUAGUCAUUCUGGGACUAGGUAUUGGUGAAUAUUCUGGGCUACCCCUGCUUUGUAACUGUUGCCAAAAUAACUGUCCUGACAUAUCACCUCCCAUCGAAUUAUUACCAGAAUUUUGACCAGAACCUGGACUAGAGCAGUGGCCAGAGCCAAGUAAUGUGACAUCUGCAUAAGGCUUCCCAGACCAGAAAGCAGAAUUCACGACUUGCUCACUACCAAAUGCUCUCAGUGGACUUCUGGAGGGACUUGACAACGAGCUGUCAGGAGCACUGCUGAAAGCACCAUGAUACGGAACCUGUAGAUUUGGCACAUGACCACUUAAACGUCUUUGUUUGGGUGAUGGGGAGAGACGAUUACUCAAUGAAAGAUUUGCCGGUUUUUUUUCCUCUCUUGAACUUGUUUGAGAGGCAUUGGAAAGAUGAUCCUUGGGCAUCACACUUCAGGGGUGGAAAGAAAGAUGGAGUCAAUUGAUCAGGAAUAAGUAGAUAUAAUAAAACAUCAAUAACAUGUGAACACAAAUUUCCCAUACAUUUACAUUUUUAUCCAUUGUCAAAGCGUCGAGUUUAAUGAGUUACGAGCAGGCUAACCUGGAAGGGCUGCUUGCAGCUGUUCUAGUCCCAUUGUCAUAGUCAUUUGCCAGCGGACUGCGAUGACGGGAGUCAGCUUGAUCGUCACUAUCAAUGGAGCUCUCACUGGAAAUAGAGGCGGUGAUCAAAUCUCCAUCCAAGUCAGCAGGAUUUGCCCUACUACGUAUGCAUGCCGGUCUUGGAAGAGGUAAAAACAAUGAAGACUUGGAACCUUUUUCCAGUUUUGGCUUAGUGGAGAUACUAAUUUCAGAAGCUGUACGACUUACAGCUGCAGAGCGCAAACCAGGAAGUGGAAGUGGUUGAGCAUUGGACCUUUCAACAAAACUUUGACUCCUCCCUACUUGCUUGGAAGGGGAAGUUGAUCUAGAUUCUGCUCGGGACUGGGAUCCUAGCUCCGAAACUGUAUCAUUGCAAGGUCUGCGAGACCCUCCUGAUUUACUGCUUGCUUUACCUUCACAUGUGAUCUUAAUUUUUUGAUGUAUUGUGCAAAUUAUACCAUCCUUACUUGCUUUUUUCUUCGACGAUGACUUUCCCCACCAAGAACGCAUUUUUCUUAUUCUUCAAUAUUUACCAAAAAAAGAAUAAAGCAGCUGGAAAUUUCUUCUAAGGCAAUUCCGUUUCUAAAACCAACAACCAAUCGUGCAACACUUUAUUCUAAAAUUCUAAAACCUGAACAAAAAAAACAAUGAAAAAUAUAACAUGGUCAAUAAUUAGCAAGACUGUGUCUAUGUCACUGUCAACUCCAAAAUCAAAUUAAACAAAAGUGAGAAAAAUUGCAUGUCUGAAUGUUAUACUGAAGCAAUGAACUGAUCAAAAAAAAAAAAAAACCUCACAGGCAAUAUGAAAAGUCAAAAUUAGUCAGCCAAUUUUGACUGAUUAGCAAAGCUACCUCAUCCAACAACCUCAAAAAAGGAACCACAUUUUUAUACUUAAAACCGCGUAAAUUAAGCACGUCUUGUACGUGCAUUAUAUAUAAUCACAACGCAAAUCAUAUUAGUUCAAAUUUCUAACUACAUAUAGGAACUGGCAAAAUAAACACGUGCGCUAAAAAUAAAAUCUGAAAUUCAUUCACUAAAAAUAACUCGAUUUUUCUCAAAUGAACUAAACAGAGUUUUACGAUCUUUAACUUAGUUCAAAACGACGGCGUUAAUAGACAGAUCUCAGCACAGGCUAAAAAUAAAGACAUAAAAAAGAAUACUAAUAAUAAUAACAAAAAAUUGUACUCACCGGCACAUGUUUUAACGGCAGUUUGAAUCUGAAGUGAAGAAGAAACGUACGUCUGAGAGAUUAGUUGCGUAAUGUUGAGAUGAGAACUGGUUGAAUGUAAUCGUGGAGAAAUGAAAGAACCCUAGUCAAAACGGCAGCGUAUUGAGGGAUUCCUUUGCAAGAAGAAUUUUGUUGUUGUUGAGUUCAAAGAGAGAGAUCGCGUAAAAAGAAGACAGAGAUUGAUAGAAAUGUAGAGAGAGAAAGAGAAGGAAAGGGAAGAGAGAGAGAGUAUGUCUGAGCCCAAGACAUGGAGUUGUCUGUGCGUUGAUUUUACAAUUAUUAAAAAAAAUACAUAUAUAUAUAUAUAUAUUAAAAUUAUAUUAUAUUAUAAUUAUUAAAAAGUAAUGAUGGUGAUUGCCGCAUUGGUAAAUUUCCGAGUACAGUAAACUCGUUUUUAACCGUUAGUUACCCCAAAAAAAUUUAAAAAGAAAAAAAUCUUUAGGGGAGAUGGACUGAUGGAGCAUGCCACGUCAUCAUGCUGCUAAUUAUAAAUUUAUUAUGUAAUAAAUAUAAUAUGCGUCAAGAUGUCAUCUAAAAUAAUAAUAAUAAUAGAUAAUAUUAUGUACUGUAUUAAUAUUAUGUUCUGUAUUUGAUUAUUGCCAGAUUUUUCUUUAUUUGAAAGUGACUUUUUUUUGGUAAUUAUAAUUUUUUAUUUUACCGUUAUAGUAUAUUUUAGUUUAUUUAAUGACUUGCGUGGUCGAUCUUACUAAGAUUUUAAAAUUUUUCUUUAAAUUUAAUGUAAUGUUUUAGUGAUAUUACUCACUUAAUGUUUUUCAACACACAAAAUAUUAGCAACACAAUAUAAUAAACUACAAAUACUAAUAAAUAAAUAAACAAGCAAAAGAAGAAUUGUAACUUUAUAAUAUAUAUUCAAAAUUAAUAUAGAAAUUAUUUUUUUUUACAAGAAAUGAAAUAAUCGAAACCAGAAAUUAAUGAUUAUUGGAAUCUGCUUGUUUGAGUGCUCGAGGACAAGUUUAUUCCCCAUCAAAACAAAUUUAAAUGUUGACGAGAUAAACUGAUCAUCUCAACAUAUACGACCAGAUUUCUACAUCAAAAUUUGCUAUUGUGUUGCGCGUUGGGCUCACGACCUGCGUGGCUUAUUCUCAAAGAUCACAUGGGUUCAUUGCUGCUGCGCUACUAGUGCUAGGUUUGCUACUGUGUUGAGUGCUGGGCUUGCGAUUUGUGUGGCUACCUACUGCCUACUGCUGUGAUUUUCUGACUCACAUGCUGGGCUCAUGACGAUCGCUGGCGAUAACGGCUAUGAGGCUGAGAGGGUGCGGCUGUUGGCUAUGCGGUAGGCAGUUGGUGUCUUGUGUUGUUGUACAUUUGUUUCACUUGUUUAAUUUAUGGCUAGGGAUACGGUAGCCUCAAGCCUGUUUUGAUUUUGAUUUUUUUUUUAAUUUGAAUUAUUUUUUUAUUUUAUAUAUUAUAGAGUUUUUACUAAAGACCAUAAUCAGGCCCACUAUAUACAAACUUUAUAUCUUUUAUCCUUAAUAACGUGUCUAAGAAGGAAAAAAAUAGGACAUCCGCAUUAAAAAAAAAAAUACAAAUAUUUCCUAUUGUCAUUUUUCCAAGAUCUUCCAAUUUCUGGUCUGUGGACCAAAGCACAUUCUUGGUUUUUGAUUCGUUAUUACUUCCGAGUUUUGUCUCUUGUGUUGGUUGGAUGAGGACGCUGGAGAAUGACAUGGGGCUGGCUUGUUUCCUAACAAGCAUUAUCACCGCUCGGUAUGCUCAUCUUAGCCAGCCAGCAUAAAUCACACAUAAAUGACAAUGGCCUGAUAUUGUGACCUAAUUACUACAUUUAUCUCUUCACUCAAAAAUUUUCUCUUUUGACUUUUGGUCCAGAAGAGGGCUUCGGCAGCCCAACUGCAUUUAAGCUUUGCAGGGCUAUCGCAACUCCAGGAAACAUCACAGCAUCUCCAGUCAAUUUGCUCAAAACUUAUCUUCUUUGACUCUGAAUCACAGUCAUUCAUCAUGGUGGAAUAACUCAACUUAAAAAAAUUUUAUACGGUCCUAACAUAGCAACUCGAUUAAUAUCUUAGAUUUCUUCUACAAAUAACUUCAAUUUCUUAUCAGUAAGCAGAGCCAAAAGAAAAAACUUUUCACAAACAAAUCAAACGAGAUGCAUCAAGCCUCAAACUUCUCACCAAAAGGAUAUCCAAAGGCAAUAACUAAACAAACUUUGAUACUCAAAUUUUAAUUCACGACACCGAAACUAAUUAAACAUUUCAUAAAGCUCCCAACUUUCAAAGGCCAAACAACAGCAUAUAAAAACCCAAGAUCCCAUAUCCCUUUUUCUCUUAUUUUCCCUCAGUUUCUCAGCUACCAAACACAUAACCUGUGAAUAUGUGUGUGUAAAAUAAUAAUAAUAAUAAUAAUAAUAAUAAAACUCUGUUUUUUUUUCCCGGACAAAACUUAUACUAAAAACAAAAUAACCCAUUAAAGAGAAGAAUAGUUACAACCCCAUAAACGAACCUGAAUCGCGGCUGGCCGGAGGCGGGACUCAGCUGAAACUAUGGCGGUUGCAGCGGCGUUAACGGUCUCGACGCUGUCGUGAACACUACUCAUCUUAUUUUCAAAUUUUCAAAACAUGAAACGACGACACAAACGAGUUGUGUAAUAACAUCUACAGCUUCCGUUUGGAUCUCCAAACGAAUUUGAAAAUAAGAUGAGUAGAGUUCACAAACGACUCAGCUCAGGGGCCAAAAUAGUUCUUUCCAAAGGUGCAGCACCCUUCACAAAAGGGUGAUCCAAAAGCUUAACUGCUG
This 6853-nucleotide long non-coding RNA is filed under the name Citrus x clementina. RNAcentral describes it as "Citrus clementina (C. clementina) long non-coding RNA (CCLE_LNC000602)". Lineage: Eukaryota; Viridiplantae; Streptophyta; Magnoliopsida; Sapindales; Rutaceae. The record is from RNAcentral.